UGCUCAUGGCAACAAUAUAAUGAAGUUUCCGGUGGUGCAGUGAAAUUCAAAGCUGUGAGCCCAUCUUAUAAAGACAUCCUUGCAUGAAGAUUUCAGUGAGGCUAGUGAGGUAACAUACAUUCAUGUAGCCAGUGAGUGUCAGUAUUGAGCCUAGAUGUGAGUAUUUACAAGCCAAGCUGCACAGGCAGUUUAUACUGUAGACAAUGUUAUAAUGAUCUGCAGACAGGUGUAUGAAAAUGGGAAAGAUCCCAUCAUUCAUUAGCCACCUCCCUUCUUAAUAUGACCAAUCAAGUUACUACAGUGCAUGCAGCAUGAGACUUUCUCUGGUACAUUUUUUUGAUGCAUGUGUAAGGUACUUAAGGUUUUACAGGAGUAGAUAUUCUAAGUUAAGGCUAGAGAGUCCUUGCAAGAAUGUAACAGAUUUCUUUCUGGUUGUAAGUGAAAAUGAGCAAACCAAACUCAAGUUAGCCAUCUCAAUUUUGUUAGAAAUCCAGUAAAUUGAUAGAAUAGCUUUUUUCAUGCAAUUUCAGAAUAUCCUGAGUUUGGUGGAUGCUCAAGGAUCAUUGAUCCCAACUCCUCGCUCCACACACCACUACCCAAAAUCCAAACCCCGUGUCUGAGAGUGUUGUCCAAAUGCUUCUUGAACUCUGGCAUCCUGGGGCCGUGACCACCACCUGUUCCAGGGCCGGAACAGCGCCUUAACCAAGUGUUUGUUCUAAUAAGCUGGAGAACAAAUGCACAGAGCUUUGCAUGUAGGAUGGAUUUACUUUUUUAUUUCAUGUAGUCACAGAAUUGUUUAGGUUGGAAGAGACCUCUAGAGAUAAUGUAGUCCACCCCCCACUGUUAAAGCAGGAUCAGCUAGAGCAUUUUGCACAGGACCAUGUCCAGUCAAGCUCUGAAUAAUUCUACAGAUGGAGACUUCACAGCCUCUCUGGGCAUUCUGUGCCAGUGUUUGAUUGCCUUCACUGUAGGAAUGUUUUCUCGUGAUUGUGGUGGAGCCUCCUCCAGGCUGGACAGACCCAGCUCUCUAAGCCUUUCUUCAUGGGAGAAGUGAUCAAGUCUUAAAUAUCUUCCUGACCCUAUACUGGAUUUGUUCUGGUAAGCCUGUGUUUGUCUGUCUUGUAAAGUCGAGUCAGAACUGGAUGCUUGGGACCAUUGAGGAAGCAGAAAUGACUAUUCAUUUCUUCCACUGUUUUGCAAUUUUUUUAUGUCAGAUAGGGGUAGGCAGUAGUAGUUUAUGAAGCUUUUUUACUCUGUGCCACUUUCCAGAUUGAAAGCAGUGUUUAUUGCUUCUGUUAAAAUGACUCUUAUUUUGCCUGAUAAAUGCUGUCCACAGUUGUGGGACUUGAACGAUUAUUUCCCAUUCCUGAUGAAGAGAGGCAGUUGUGCUAAGAAGCAGGUGGGUCAAAAGUGAGGUCUGUCAGUAGUCCAGAUAAGUCCCAUAUAUUGUCAAGAGAUUUUAAGCUAUUUUGAGUUCAAGGCUUUUGAUAGUGCUGUAUUAUCACUUUCAGGCUAUUUUGAAGGGUAGGGUAUUCACCCAAAGGGAAAAACCACUGUUCAGGUGCCUUCUUGAUUGGCUUACCUUCUUGAUUGGCUUAGGGAAAUGAGUAUGCAUCUUCUGCAUAUGUGCAUGCUGUCAAAAUGUUUGAGGCAAAAUGUGGUGGUUUUAUCAGCCACCAUAGUUCUUAUCGAAGUACCUACUUUUCUCAUAGUAGAAUCCCUGUAAUCAUUCCUUUUGCUGGCUCCACUCUCAAUAGUGGAAAUUUUAAUCACCAUUCCUUAUUAUACUUGAUGCACGUACUUGAUGGCUGGCUCUUGGGACUGGAACAGAGGCACUCUAGCAAGUAGUCCUUUGGGUAGAGUAGACAGAUGUUUGUGGGCAAGGAAAUUGUCUUGUUUCAGGGAAAUUUGUUUUCCACAUCUGGGGCUGCUUUCAUUAUAAUAGCUGGAAGUUGUCAUCUGCUAUUAACAGAGAAAAUUUUUUAUUCUACCUUAGCCAUUUAAGAUCCAGUAGAAGUAUUUUCUUUAGUUUUCUUUUUAAGGAUUUUUUUUAAAUCAAGAUUGUUUUUCUAUGUUUAAGGAAAUAGUGCUGUUUUAUAGAACCAGACCAAUAUUACUAUCUGAGUCUUGUAAUGAAAUGUGAUUAGCUUUUCUUUCUCUUUAAAGGGAAAUCAGAGGAUCAAAACUGGAAGGUAUUGGUUCUCCGUGGUGUAACAGAUGACAACAAGUAUAUAUAGGAUAAACUUUUUUAUUGUGUGGAGACUGGUUAUGUAUGACCCUCUUCCUUGUGCAGCUGUAACAUAGUUGUACCUUUAUUUCAUAUUGUGAGUGAUGUCAAAAGAUGUUUGCAGGACAUCUUCUGAUGUUGUUCAGAAUGUUGGUACUGAUGUAGUUGCCACAGCACGGGACAGCAAAAUGGUUUCUCUCCUUACCCUCUGCUCUAGCAGAGGUAGGCAAUUUAGCACUCUUGGUUCAAAUCUCUGCUUUUCUUUUUGUUUGCUUAUUUUCUUUUGAUCCUAGAUCAUUUUAUUUACCUGUUUCUCUGCAGUCUGUUUCACUCUGUUUCUAGAAAUAUGCCCAGGAAUUUGGUUAAGGACUUCUUAAGAUGGAUUGUUUCCAUAGAUCAGUCAGCCUUCAUCCAACAGCUAUUGCUGUGGUAGGACGCAGCACUAAGAUGUUUGCUCAUCUUUUAAGUGUCCUCCCAAUUUUAAAAGCACAUCAGGUCUCCCAUGUGUACAAACAGAUAUACCAUGUUCCAUCUCAGCCUUUUCUUUAGUAGGAUAAGCCCUGCAAUUCCUUCUAUCUUUUCUCCAGAACAACUUUCCAGAAAUUGGAUCCAUCACUGGGCACUCUACUGCAUUCACAGUUUGAGACGGAAGAAACGCAUUGCCCAAAAAUCUCCAGCUGAGAUCUUCGCUUUCAUCAUCUGUGAGAGCAUCAAAAACCUUGUCAUGAUCAGAACACAUCUGCUACUUCUCCCAUUGCCAGAUGGCUUGUUACCCUGCCAUAAAAAGAAAUCAGGUUAAUUUGUCAAGUCUUGUCAAUACUUGCUGUCUAUGAGGUGCUUGCAUGUGAUCCUGGUUGGGUUUUUUUUUCUGUUUGUUUUUCAAAUACUUGAGGGAACACUGAAAGUGAGCUGGCUAGCUUCAUUAAAAAUAGAGGGGGUGGAAGGAGAGGGGAGGGUAAAAAGAAAAAAAACUCACCAUCUGCUCUUUUUACAGUCAUUUCUGUGAUUCUCAGAAAUGACUGCUUUAAUCAGAUCAGCUUCAGAAUUAUGUUCAUCUAGCCCUGCUAAUUAGGGAUUUAUUUUUUCCCACUUGCCAAGCUUUCCCUAGCAUGAGCUUUACCUAACUAGGUUGAAGUCUUACCUUUAUGUGUUGGUCUUAAUUGUGCUAGCAGCUGCUUAACAUCUGACCCUGUUCCAAAAGGCUGAUGCAAAUCCAAUAUGCAAUGAUUUCAACAGAGAAGCUGUAAUUAAAGGCAAUGCAACCUGGAGGUCUGACCCACAGCCCACACCCGGCUUGGCAUUUGAUCUUGGGCAAGCUACUUCACUCAAUUUGUAGCUUUUACGCUCUGUCUCCGGUCUGUAAAUGGACAUAAUUAUUUCAUCCUUUUCUGCAAAGCACUCAAGGAAUUGCAGUCACCAUUUUUCAGUGGUAAGCAAGAGCUACAGCAGAGUUAAUGCCUUAACUUUAUGCACACAGUAGCAUUAAUUCUUAGCCUGGGAACUGAAUCCACUGCCAGAUACACAUACUUUUUCUUUCAGAGCACAGAUUCCUGGAAGUUAAAGUUUAACUUUGGUAAGGAACACUUUGAAUAAAAACUGUCUACAGUGAUUUAAUCAGUAAUUGUCAGAGUAGGGAAAUAAUCGCAUAAAGUUUAGUGAGUUAUUCAAGAUUACAGUGAUUGGUCAAAACUAUUAAAAUUUAGCAUUGAUUUCCUGUUUCAUACAAUAAAUGCCAUUUUUGUUGUUUCCCUUACCCUAAAUAAUUUAAGUUACUAGGUUUGUCUUUGUGUGUGUGUUGCCUGAAUAAAAG
RNAcentral lists this long non-coding RNA (4037 nucleotides) under Gallus gallus (chicken). Its description in RNAcentral is "lncRNA (ENSGALG00010010832.1)". The record is from RNAcentral. Lineage: Eukaryota; Metazoa; Chordata; Aves; Galliformes; Phasianidae.